Cyprinus carpio (common carp) is the source of this 2184-nucleotide long non-coding RNA. The record is from Ensembl. NCBI's taxonomy places the organism in Eukaryota, Metazoa, Chordata, Actinopteri, Cypriniformes, Cyprinidae.
AUGACUUCCUUCACAAAGGGUGAGGAGGAGCGCCAUGACGAUCACCAAAGAAAGGCAUACGAGAAUCUACAGCACAAUCAGCAGAGGAGAAUGCAGCUCCAGAAUGAUCUUCAGUCACAGCAGCGAAAUCAUCGCCUGAGCAGGGCAGCCUGGAUGCAGGGCCGCUGGUUGGAGAUCAGUGAGCAGGAGCGCAGGGCUCAGAUCAAGAACCAAAAGCUGCUGCAGGACUUUCAGAGAGCACAACACACGCUCAGUGACAUGGUGGCCCGCACCGAAGCCAUGAACACUAUACGGGUUCAGUAUGAACAGUAUCUGGAAGAGAGCUUCCCACGAUGGCAACAAAGACUCAAAGACAUAAGAGUUUCUGAAAGGUCAAAGCAGGUACAGCAGCACUUAAAGAGCUAUAUUCAGACGAUGGAAAAGGAAGAAGGUAUCAAGUCUGAACACAGGUCUGACUUUAGAGGCCACCUGUCCUCCAAUUUUCCAGACGCAUCUCAGCCUUCACACACCAUGCUAAACACUCAUCGGAAAGUGAAAGACAUCAAGCAAAAUCCUGAAAGAUGCAACCAUGAUCCUUACAUUCCACCCACUUGGUUAACUGGCUCACAGCCUUCAAUUUCCGGACUCCCCCAAAACAAUAUCGCAAAGGAUUACAAAAACCUUCAGAACAAUCAAACCUUAAAUAAUCCCUUGCCACCUUACUAUUCUUUACCUGGCGAUUUAGUCCAUCAGUCACAUUCUCCAGUCCAGCAAAAGCCACCAUCAAUGGACCAUCUGUGGGCUGGUAUAAGGCAAGAGUUUAUGCCUACAGCUCACUUCACUCCUCCUGCUGCUUCCCAGCCACGACUUCCUGUGCUGAACCCCAUGACGUGGGGUAUGAUGGAUGUACCAGACCCCAGUGAGGAAAGAAUCCAAUGCAGUGAGCCAGACAAGGAAAAGGUGACAAAAGCAAAACCAAAACACAGGCGGAAAGGGAAAGAGAGUGAUCGGUCUUCUGAGCUCGACUGUAGACCAGUGCGUCUAUCAAUCAACCAUGAAGAAAGUAGUGAAGGUAGCAAUGUGUCCUCUAAAGUUUCUGGGAUGCAAAAACGGAGAAAGAAAAAAACAGAUGGGACAAAAUCAAAUUCUACAGAAAAUAGGAAUGAAUCUCACGGCUCUUCCACUGUGUCACAAGAUGCUUCAGAUAGUAACUUGGGCACAAAAAUCAACCAAAAACACCAAAAGCAAUUUAAUAAGUGCAACAGCAAAGAAUCCGUUAUCGCAGAGAAGACUGUUGAUGCAGUGAUGCAAGAUGAAGACGAACAAGAAGAAAGCAAGAGCCAAGAAAUUUCUCAGAGUAGUGUCAGCUCUGGAAAGAAAGAUGGAUCUGAAGGACUUAAUGUUAGAGAGGAAGAAGAUUCUAAUGAAGGAGAUGAUGACAGUCAUGACAUCAUUGUGGCAGAGGAGAAAAUAAGUCACAGAGAAGCUAAAGAUGAAGACGAGGAUGAAGAAAGCACAGAUGGAGAUGAGGAAGCAGGAUUUGAUGAUGAAGCACAGGGAUGCGAUGAAGAAGGGAGUGAGACAGUGGUGGGAAAGAGAGAUGAGACUGAACCCAGUGAUAGAGAAGAUCCAGAAAGGGAAGGCGUUGUUCCAGAUGACAUUCCAGAUAGUGGAGAUGGAGGAGAAACAACGGAGGAAGAGGAAAGAGAAAAUAGUUUUCAAAAUACAAAGGAGGCUAGAAAGACUCAAGAAACUGUAGAAGAUGAGAGAGAAAUUCACAAAAGCCUCGAGGAGUCUGAAGAGGAAGAGGUUUACAAUCAAGAAGUAGAAGAUGAUGAAGAAGAAGAUGAUGAGGAGGUUGUGGUUGAGAAAUCAUACCCCUGGUCAAGAGACCCUUUUGAUGAUCAUACAAAAUGCCCUGAGGAUGAUGAGGAUGAUAUUGAAGGUCUUCUCAACCCUGUCAACUCCCAAACACAGCAGGAGGAUGAUAUGAAGGAGACAGAGCAAUCAAAUGAUCAACCAUCUGAUUCAGAGGAGGAAAAUCUACCACAGAAGAGUCAUCCUGCAGCCACAAAUGAGAUAGUGGAGUCUGAUGAUGAGUUUGACCACUUCUAUGAUUAAACCAGAAACUAGAACAGAAAGAUGGGAAACAGAAAAAGAAUUGAACAGAAAGAGAAAACCAAUAAAGGAUGAAUAAGCUGGACA